Arachis duranensis is the source of this 2401-nucleotide long non-coding RNA. RefSeq lists it as uncharacterized. The transcript has 3 exons. Lineage: Eukaryota; Viridiplantae; Streptophyta; Magnoliopsida; Fabales; Fabaceae. The record is from RefSeq and is a predicted model, not a curated record.
GCCAUUUAGUUUCCUUCAGAUCAUUUCUAUUGAAUUGCUUCAGUUCAUCACUACCACCCACCGUAAGCCCUAACUUUCAAAAUCAACCCAAACAGUGACACAAACGGCAGCAGGUCUUGUUUGCGGUGCUGUCCACCCCAACUGGCGACGGCGCGGUGCUCCCUUUCAUAGGCGUCGGCACAUUGCUCUCCUCCAUGGGCGUCGGCGCGGUGCUCUCCUUCGCGGUCAUCUUCUCCACGCAUGCUUCUCCAGGCAUGCUGCUCCACAGCUUCUCCUCCUCCUGUCUCGGCUCAACGUACGUGGUCACAUUCGAGAAACCCCCUUCCUUCCUCUUUUUCCCCUGUCUCGCCUCCUCCUCUUUGCAAGCUCUGACAACACUACAUGCAGCUGUAACCCCCUUCCUCCUCCUCCGCGUAUUGGUGCCAAAGGCUCAACUAGCACAGUAGAACUACAUCUUGGUUGUUGGAGAGCAGGAAGCAGAAACUGGACAGGUGCUUCUUAUUUUCACUUUGGAUGCUGCAUUAACAGUUCUCACUUUUAGAAACUACAAAACCGUAGCAAACCCUGUUCCAUUGGUGAGCUCUAACGCAUUCUGGUGACCACCCCUCCACUGCUCUAUUGCUCCGGUGACACUACAAUGCAGCUACAACCUCCUCUCCCCUGCCUUCUUAUUUCUCUAUUCUUCAGUUUUCAGGUUUUUGCAAAAUCUCGUUUUGAUAUUCUCCAUUUUAAUUCAUUACAGUUUAGUUAGGGUUUAAUUCUUACUUAGUAAUUUUAUUUAGUCAAACUAGUUUUUGCUGAUUAGGUUAAUUUAGAUUAAAAUUAGGAUUCUCUUAUGAGCAUUUAUCUUAGUUCAUAGGUAAUUAAGCAUGCUAUUAUGAUUCUUAGAUCUAGAAUUUCAAUUCGUUUGGGCUGGCUUGAUUGAUUUUCUGGUUCUCCUUGGCUUCUCCAUUAAGGUGCGCUUCAAAUUUAGCUGAAAUAUGGAGUCAGAGGGAAAUUAGAUACCCCUUUUAAUGCUGUGGGAUACAUAGACAGAGAGGUGCUUGGAAUCAACCACAUGUAUAAGCAUCCAGCUUGGAAGAGAAUUCUAAGGCUUACUGCCUUUUUCUUAGGCUUGCACCGAGAAAUCACCUUUUGAAGUGCCAUUUAGGAAAAAUGCUCCCUCAUGGUGUUAUGCUCCUUUUGAGUCAGAAGGAAUUCUAAGGUGUGCUUACUCUUCCAGUUAUGUGAUUUUUUCCAUAGGAUCAUCCUUUAAGAUUGAAGCACUAGAUUCUCCUGGGUUUAUCUCUUCUUACUUUGGGACUUAUUCUUCACUUCACUGAUGAUGAACUCUAAUUAACCAAGUGUUCAGCUGGAAUAUCUUUACUAUAUAUUCUAACCACUCACAUGAUACUUCCUUCUGCGUCGCAGCCACUCCUUUGAAUAAGAAACGGUAUACACUAAGCUAUGUUUGAUAAACAUCUGGAGUAGCAACAUUUUCAGCCUUUUAUACAAUGAUAUUAUUAUAUACUAUGAAAGUUCUAGUUGCCAUUGUAUCAUGAUAGUGAUAGAUAAAUCUUGUACAUUGGAUUAUUGCAUUGCAUGUUGAUAUUUGGAGCUUGAAACUAUGGUCCAUGCCUUUGAAAUGGAUUGGCAUGAAUGCCAUGUUUGUGUAUGUUAUGGCAGCCGAGGGUAUCAAAGGUAAGAUUCUUAAGUAGGUAAUCAAAAGAGUGGUGGUUGCUUCUUAAUAUACUGAAGCCCUUAAAAAAAUUUAUUUACUUGCAAAUAAAUACAGUUGCACAUAAUGACGGUCACCACAUUACAUUGAAAAAAAAACUUAUAUUAAAAGAUGCUAUUUCUGGCCUUUCUCUGGUAUAUUUUAAUUUUUUAUUCAUUCUUUUAUUGUCUUUAUGUUUUAUGAUAAUUUGGUUGUUGAUGAAUGUUAUUAACCUAUUAGGAUUGAGAAUGAUGAUUAUGCUUUAACUUGUUUGGUCCUUAUAUUGUGUUACGUUUACACUAUAUAGUUGUUUUCUUUAGUAUUGAUGAAUAUGGUUUUAUUCUUUUAUUGGUAUUUUAUAUGAUAUGAAGAUGUUUAGCUUAAUAGGUUACUUAAUUGUUGUUUGGUCACUGGUGAGUAUGGUUGGACUGCAAACAUGGAGAGGAUUAUGAAGGCACAGGCCUUGAGAGAUAACGGCAUGACUGGCUACAUAUCUAGUAAGAAGACUAUGGAGAUCAACUCUGACAUACAUCCGCAUUAUGAAAGAACUGAUGAAGAGAACGGAAGAUGAUGAAAUUAGGCAUUUAUUUGUUUUUUUUUUGUUGAAGUUCAUGAGAAAAUAUGUAUUUUUUUUUGUUUAGUCAUGUGUAUUUUGAUUUGAAUUGGCAAUUGCAAGUAUAUAUGUCAUUAAAAUUUACGUAGUUG